GGGUUACGAAUCGCCCCUUAGAGUUUGAUCAUGGNCUCAGGAUGAACGCUAGCGGCAGGCUUAACACAUGCAAGUCGAGGGGCAGCAUGUCCAGCAAUGGAUGAUGGCGACCGGCGGAAGGGUGCGUAACGCGUGAGCAACAUGCCCUAUACAGGGAGAUACACCAGGGAAACUUGGUCUAAUAUCCCAUAGCAUUCAUUGAAGGCAUCUUUAAUGAAUUAAAGCUUCGGUGGUAUAGGAUUGGCUCGCGUGACAUUAGCCAGAUGGUGAGGUAACGGCUCACCAUAGCAAUGAUGUCUAGGGGUUUUGAGAGGAAGGCCCCCCACACUGGGACUGAGACACGGCCCAGACUCCUACGGGAGGCAGCAGUGAGGAAUAUUGGACAAUGGAUGGAAAUCUGAUCCAGCCAUGCCGCGUGCAGGAAGACGGCCUUAUGGGUUGUAAACUGCUUUUAUACGGGAGCAAUAAGGGUUACGAGUAAUCCGAUGAGAGUACUGUAUGAAUAAGGAUCGGCUAACUCCGUGCCAGCAGCCGCGGUAAUACGGAGGAUCCGAGCGUUAUCCGGAAUUAUUGGGUUUAAAGGGUGCGUAGGCGGCCAUUUAAGUCAGCGGUGAAAUUUUGCAGCUUAACUGUAACAGUGCCGUUGAUACUGUUUGGCUAGGAUUUGGUUGUAGUGUGCGGAAUGUGUGGUGUAGCGGUGAAAUGCUUAGAUAUCACACAGAACACCGAUUGCGAAGGCAGCACACUAAGUCAUUAUUGACGCUGAGGCNCGAAAGUGUGGGGAUCAAACAGGAUUAGAUACCCUGGUAGUCCNCACUGUAAACGAUGAUAACUCGCUGCCGGCGU
This 846-nucleotide ribosomal RNA is filed under the name uncultured bacterium. RNAcentral's name for it is "bacterial SSU rRNA". It matches the Rfam family "Bacterial small subunit ribosomal RNA", at positions 1 to 829 of the family's 1533-position model. The record is from RNAcentral.